UACGUAGGGGGCAAGCGUUGUCCGGAUUUAUUGGGCGUAAAGAGCGUGUAGGCGGCCAGAUAGGUCAGCUGUGAAAACUCGAGGCUCAACCUCGAGAUGUCGGCUGAAACCAUCUGGCUAGAGUCCGGAAGAGGAGAAUGGAAUUCCCGGUGUAGCGGUGAAAUGCGUAGAUAUCUGGAGGAACAUCGGUGGCGAAGGCGGCAUCCUGGACCGGUAUUGACGCUGAGGCGCGAAAGCCAGGGGAGCAAACGGG
This 253-nucleotide ribosomal RNA is filed under the name uncultured bacterium. RNAcentral describes it as "partial 16S ribosomal RNA". It matches the Rfam family "Bacterial small subunit ribosomal RNA", at positions 524 to 776 of the family's 1533-position model. The record is from RNAcentral.